GAGUUUGAUCCUGGCUCAGGAUGAACGCUGGCGGCGUGCUUAACACAUGCAAGUCGAACGAACCUUCGGGUUAGUGGCGGACGGGUGAGUAACGCGUGGGAAUCUGCCCUCAGGAGGGGGAUAACGGUUGGAAACGGCCGCUAAUACCCCAUAUGCCGAGAGGUGAAAUGAAUUUCGCCUGAGGAUGAGCCCGCGUCUGAUUAGCUAGUUGGUGAGGUAAGAGCUCACCAAGGCAUCGAUCAGUAGCUGGUCUGAGAGGAUGAUCAGCCACACUGGGACUGAGACACGGCCCAGACUCCUACGGGAGGCAGCAGUGGGGAAUUUUCCGCAAUGGGCGAAAGCCUGACAGAGCAACGCCGCGUGAGGGAUGAAGGCCUCUGGGCUGUAAACCUCUUUUCUCAAGGAAGAAGAUCUGACGGUACUUGAGGAAUAAGCCACGGCUAAUUCCGUGCCAGCAGCCGCGGUAAUACGGGAGUGGCAAGCGUUAUCCGGAAUUAUUGGGCGUAAAGCGUCCGCAGGCGGCCCAUCAAGUCUGCUGUUAAAAAGUGGAGCUUAACUCCAUCAUGGCAGUGGAAACUGUUGGGCUAGAGUGUGGUAGGGGCAGAGGGAAUUCCCGGUGUAGCGGUGAAAUGCGUAGAUAUCGGGAAGAACACCAGUGGCGAAGGCGCUCUGCUGGGCCAUAACUGACGCUCAUGGACGAAAGCCAGGGGAGCGAAAGGGAUUAGAUACCCCUGUAGUCCUGGCCGUAAACGAUGAACACUAGGUGUCGGGGGAAUCGACCCCCUCGGUGUCGUAGCCAACGCGUUAAGUGUUCCGCCUGGGGAGUACGCACGCAAGUGUGAAACUCAAAGGAAUUGACGGGGGCCCGCACAAGCGGUGGAGUAUGUGGUUUAAUUCGAUGCAACGCGAAGAACCUUACCAGGGUUUGACAUCCUGCGAACUUCUUGGAAACGAGAAGUG
RNAcentral lists this ribosomal RNA (960 nucleotides) under uncultured bacterium. RNAcentral describes it as "bacterial SSU rRNA". It matches the Rfam family "Bacterial small subunit ribosomal RNA", at positions 9 to 1015 of the family's 1533-position model. The record is from RNAcentral.